GGCAUGGCAUAGUGGUUUGAGUGUCAGACUAUGACUCUGGAGACCAGGAUUUGAAUCCCCGCUGAGCCA
Molecule: transfer RNA, 69 nt
Filed under: Phrynosoma platyrhinos (Desert horned lizard)
Lineage: Eukaryota; Metazoa; Chordata; Lepidosauria; Squamata; Phrynosomatidae
Description: tRNA-OTHER
Source: RNAcentral